UUUAUUUGAUAGUACCUUACUACUUGGAUACCUGUGGUAAUUCUAGAGCUAAUACAUGCUAAAAACCCCGACUUCGGAAGGGGUGUAUUUAUUAGAUAAAAAACCAAUGCCCUUCGGGGCUCCUUGGUGAUUCAUAAUAACUUCUCAGAUCGCAUGGCCUUGCGCCGGCGACGGUUCAUUCAAAUUUCUGCCCUAUCAACUUUCGAUGGUAAGGUAUUGGCUUACCAUGGUUUCUACGGGUAACGGGGAAUUAGGGUUCGAUUCCGGAGAGUUAGCCUGAGAAACGGCUAACACAUCCAAGGAAGGCAGCAGGCGCGCAAAUUACCCAAUCCUGAUACAGGGAGGUAGUGACAAUAAAUACUGAUACAGGGCUCUUUUGGGUCUUGUAAUCGGAAUGAGUACAAUUUAAACCUCUUAACGAGGAACAAUUGGAGGGCAAGUCUGGUGCCAGCAGCCGCGGUAAUUCCAGCUCCAAUAGCGUAUAUUAAAGUUGUUGCAGUUAAAAAGCUCGUAGUUGAACCUUUGGCCUGGCUGGCAGGUCCGCCUCACCGCGUGCACUUGUCCGGCCGGGCCUUUUCUUCUGGAGAACCGCAUGCCCUUCACUGGGUGUGUUGGGGACCAGGACUUUUACUUUG
This 635-nucleotide ribosomal RNA is filed under the name Helminthosporium velutinum. RNAcentral's name for it is "SSU rRNA". It matches the Rfam family "Eukaryotic small subunit ribosomal RNA", at positions 116 to 759 of the family's 1831-position model. Lineage: Eukaryota; Fungi; Ascomycota; Dothideomycetes; Pleosporales; Massarinaceae. The record is from RNAcentral.